UACGUAGGGAGCAAGCGUUGUCCGGAAUUACUGGGCGUAAAGGGCGUGUAGGCGGAUAAUUAAGUCAGGUGUGAAAACUCUGGGCUCAACCUAGAGAUUGCACUUGAAACUGGUAAUCUUGAGUGCAGGAGAGGGAAGUGGAAUUCCUAGUGUAGCGGUGAAAUGCGUAGAUAUUAGGAGGAACACCGGUGGCGAAGGCGACUUCCUGGCCUGUAACUGACGCUGAGGCGCGAAAGCGUGGGGAGCAAACAGGAUUAGAUACCCUGGUAGUCCACGCCGUAAACGAUGGGUACUAGGUGUAGGAGGUAUCGACCCCUUCUGUGCCGUAGUUAACACAAUAAGUACGCCGCCUGGGGAGUACGGCCGCAAGGUUGAA
This 376-nucleotide ribosomal RNA is filed under the name uncultured bacterium. Its description in RNAcentral is "bacterial SSU rRNA". It matches the Rfam family "Bacterial small subunit ribosomal RNA", at positions 524 to 898 of the family's 1533-position model. The record is from RNAcentral.